RNAcentral lists this ribosomal RNA (616 nucleotides) under uncultured Clostridium sp. Its description in RNAcentral is "bacterial SSU rRNA". It matches the Rfam family "Bacterial small subunit ribosomal RNA", at positions 102 to 737 of the family's 1533-position model. Lineage: Bacteria; Bacillati; Bacillota; Clostridia; Eubacteriales; Clostridiaceae. The record is from RNAcentral.
ACGGGUGAGUAACGCGUGGGUAACCUACCCUGUACACACGGAUAACAUACCGAAAGGUAUGCUAAUACGGGAUAAUAUAUUUGAGAGGCAUCUCUUGAAUAUCAAAGGUGAGCCAGUACAGGAUGGACCCGCGUCUGAUUAGUUAGUUGGUAAGGUAACGGCUUACCAAGGCGACGAUCAGUAGCCGACCUGAGAGGGUGAUCGGCCACAUUGGAACUGAGACACGGUCCAAACUCCUACGGGAGGCAGCAGUGGGGAAUAUUGCACAAUGGGCGAAAGCCUGAUGCAGCAACGCCGCGUGAGUGAUGAAGGCCUUCGGGUCGUAAAACUCUGUCCUCAAGGAAGAUAAUGACGGUACUUGAGGAGGAAGCCCCGGCUAACUACGUGCCAGCAGCCGCGGUAAUACGUAGGGGGCUAGCGUUAUCCGGAUUUACUGGGCGUAAAGGGUGCGUAGGCGGUCUUUCAAGUCAGGAGUGAAAGGCUACGGCUCAACCGUAGUAAGCUCUUGAAACUGGGAGACUUGAGUGCAGGAGAGGAGAGUGGAAUUCCUAGUGUAGCGGUGAAAUGCGUAGAUAUUAGGAGGAACACCAGUUGCGAAGGCGGCUCUCUGGACUGU